Molecule: ribosomal RNA, 592 nt
Filed under: uncultured Alphaproteobacteria bacterium
Lineage: Bacteria; Pseudomonadati; Pseudomonadota; Alphaproteobacteria
Description: bacterial SSU rRNA
Rfam family: Bacterial small subunit ribosomal RNA
Source: RNAcentral
AACGCUGGCGGCAGGCCUAAUACAUGCAAGUCGAGCGCAUUCUUCGGAAUGAGCGGCGGACGGGUGAGUAACGCGUGGGAAUAUGCCCUUCUCUAAGGAAUAGCCUCUGGAAACGGAGAGUAAUACCUUAUACGCCCUUCGGGGGAAAGAUUUAUCGGAGAAGGAUUAGCCCGCGUUAGAUUAGGUAGUUGGUGGGGUAAUGGCCUACCAAGCCUACGAUCUAUAGCUGGUUUGAGAGGAUGAUCAGCCACACUGGGACUGAGACACGGCCCAGACUCCUACGGGAGGCAGCAGUAGGGAAUCUUAGACAAUGGGGGAAACCCUGAUCUAGCCAUGCCGCGUGUGUGAUGAAGGCCCUAGGGUCGUAAAGCACUUUCGCCAGAGAUGAUAAUGACAGUAUCUGGUAAAGAAACCCCGGCUAACUCCGUGCCAGCAGCCGCGGUAAUACGGAGGGGGUUAGCGUUGUUCGGAAUUACUGGGCGUAAAGCGCACGUAGGCGGAUUAGUAAGUUAGAGGUGAAAUCCCAGGGCUCAACCCUGGAACUGCCUUUAAUACUGCUAGUCUUGAGUUCGAGAGAGGUAAGUGGAAUUCC